This is an RNA transcript of Triticum dicoccoides, 1789 nucleotides long. RefSeq lists it as uncharacterized. NCBI's taxonomy places the organism in Eukaryota, Viridiplantae, Streptophyta, Magnoliopsida, Poales, Poaceae. The transcript has 2 exons. The record is from RefSeq and is a predicted model, not a curated record.
ACCAGCGCCGCCCCUGUCCCCACACUACCGCGGCCACCUCCUUCCUCCCUUUUUCCUCUCCCACCAGCUCCCGGGCCCCGCCGUACCACCUCCUUCCUCCCGCGACGCCACUCGAGACCCGCCCCACCAUCUCCUUCCUCGUGGCCGCCGCUCGGGACCCGCCCCACCGCCUUCUUCCUUCGAUGGCCCCGCUGGCGCUCUGGAUCCCCCGGUGCAGCAGUCGUCCCCCUCUCCUCCAUCUCCCACCUCUAGGUCUGCCCCGCGACGGAUCCGGCAGGACCCUCCUCCACCCCUCCUAUCGUGCCUUCCCGGCGACGGAUCCGGCGGGAUCCACCUCCAUCUCCGUCCUCCCGUGCCUGCCCGGCGACGGAUCCGGCAGGACCCUCCUCCACCCCCUCCUACUGUGCCUGAACGACGAUGGAUCCAGCGGGAUCCUCCUCCACAUCCGUCCCCUGUGCCUGCCCGCCGGUUGGAUCCUCCUACACCUCCCAUUCCUGUGCUAGCCGGUCACGGAUCAGGCAAGAUCCUCCACCCCUCUCCUCCCACGCCUUCCUGGAGACGGAUACGGCAGGAUCCUCCUGCAGCUCCUUCCUCUACGGCGGCGUCGAGCUCUCUGCCCUCCCCUACGAGCCGCCCUCCCCUCUCUCCUUUCCUUCUUCCUCCUCUCCCCGCAAACUACCUCCGGCGAGGUCUAGUGCAUGUCCAUCCCCGGCGGCUCACGUGCAGUUCGGCCAACUAUGGCGUGCAGUACGAUGUACGAUGGCAUGCAGUUCCGCGACCUUCCCUGGCGUGCAGUGCCACCAGCGUGCAGUGCAGCUUGCCCUGGCGUGCAGUGCAGCUCGCCCGGGCGUGCAGUGCAUCUCGUCCAUGCAUGCGGGCACCCUCACCUGUAGUUUCUCUCCUUUUGUAGCCUGCUCUUAGUUGUGCCAUAUUAUUUCCAAAAACCGGAUCUCUACAACUCUACGCUUACGGAUUCCCUUGUGGCAGCUGCUGGGAUUAUCGCCCAGGAAGUUGCUCGUGAUCUUUGCAUGACUGAUACUAGCAUAUGACAAGGGUAGAUUCUUUGCCUUUGGACGUGUUUUUGCUGGGAGGGUUGCAACUGGUAUGAAGGUCCGUAUCAUGGGUCCUAACUUUGUUCCUGGCCAGAAGAAGGAUUUGUAUGUGAAGAGUGUCCAGCAUACUGUUAUCUGGAUGGUAAAGAAGCAAGAAACGGUUGAGGAUGUUCCCUGUGAUAACACUGUUGCUUUGGUUGGUUUGGAUCAGUUCAUCACCAAGAAAUGCAACCCUGACAAAUGAGGAGGAAGUUGAUGCCUGCCCAAUCAGGGCAAUGAAGUUCGCUGUGUCCCCUGUUGUGCGUGUUGCUGUUCAGUGCAAGGUGGCUUCUGAUCUUCCUAAGCUUGUCGAGGGUUUGAAGCGGCUAGCGAAGUCUGACCCUCUGGUUCUCUGUAGCAUUGAAGAUUCUGGUGAGCAUAUCAUUGCUGGAGCUGGAGAGCUUCACCUUGAAAUCUGUUUGAAGGAUCUGCAGGAGGAUUUCAUGGGUGGUGCUGAAAUUAUUGUUUCACCUCCUGUUGUCUCCUUCUGUAGAUAACUGAAAAGAAUGAUGGCCAAAACAACUGCAGUACACUUUUUAUGUGUGUGAGAGUUUGCUUUGAACUCUCUGGAAGCUCAUUCGGGCUCAAGAACAAGCUCACGUAUCACAUGCCUUGUUUAAGAAUCAUAGCAAAAAGCAGUAUAGUCAAACCUGCAUGCAGUUACUUGGUUGACAUUGCAGUGCGGUUUUUGAUUUGAA